AUAACAUUAAGAAUUAUAAGAACUUAGUUCUUGCCAUCAAAUUCAACCGCGUGAACUGCUCAAGUAGAUUAUUUAUUCUUCUUAAUUCAAAACUAAAUUACCACUGAACGUUGUAAUAUCUUAAAUAAUUAUGGGUUUAGAAUAUUUUAGCUGGGAGGAUGCUGCAGUGUUACUCACCUACCAGGCCCUGUUCAAACAGUAAACGACAAUAAUGAUUAUAUAUGCAGAAAAACAAAUAAAUACUGAUAUUUAAUGGAACCAAAAUUUAAAGCAUUUAGAUCUCACAAUAAAAUUGGAGUUUGCUAAGUCCAUAACAUGGAAAAACAAAGUUCUCAGCUGCUCAUGGUGGGUUUAAUUAGACAGUUAUGUUCUUAUGAUUGCUGGGAAGAAAAGAAGAAAAGAAAAAAAUCUCAGAAGAAUCUAUGCUUUUGUGUGUGGCAGCCAAGAUCCUUUCUCCUUCGACUUCCUGCUCUUUUUAAACCCAAGAGGAUUAGGGUUUCUUGUUUGGACCUGAAUCUUUUUCAGGGUUUUUCAGCUCCUUUUUAGCUUCUCAGAAAUCAUCAUCUCCAUAACUUUCAGUUUCCUCUUUAGGCUGCAAUGGGAUUUUUUUUGUAAUUUCAUAUGUGCACCUUUUAUGUUUUGAACCAGUUAUACUCGACUAAGCUUUGGCCAAGGCUUAGUCAAUUAUAACUCGGCAUUUGUCUGGCUAUCAUGACAUUAGUUGUGCCCAAGGGUUAAUCGCGUAUUGGCUCGCUUAUAUUUUUACAAAAGUGUAAGCCUUGCCUGUGGCUUAGUGGUGCGCUCUUGAGAUCUAUAGUACCUUUUGAUGCAUUAGCCUUCUUGAGGUUUAAUUGUGCGUGCCAAAAUCUACUAUUGCUAUAGGAUCUAAGCCUUGCCAGAGGCUUAUAACAUGACUGACUGUUGUUCUACAAACCCUUAUAUUUUUAUGCUGUUAUUUCUGACUUUGGGCACUAUAUCCUAUCCUGCGUCAAAAUAAAAAAAGUAGGUCAAAUCAUAUAAUAUGUUAUUCAAUGAAGCACUAAAAAAUGGACAAUAGAAAUGUUGUUUUCACAUAUUAUCAAAUUCCCCCACACUUACCUUGUGCUUGCCCUCAAGCACCACACAAUACACACCACCAAUCCUCAUCUCUUCACCUUCAACUCAUCCAUUCCUAGUUAUUUUCAUCACAACUCGCAUAUUUACAUCUCAACCAUCGAGUUGUAAAAAUAACCAUCAAUUAGUAGUUUGUAGGCUUAAGUUUCAUGGAACCACACCAACGAACAAGUACUUUGACUAAUACCCAAACACAACAUGAGAGAGUUUUGUAAUUUUUAGUACACAAAAAUUUCAUUAAAAGGAAUAACCAAUAUGUAGUAGAUCAACUACCUAACUUUUUCAGACAUAGAAUUUUCAUACAAUUGGUUCAUGCAGAAAAUAGAAGACCUAUUUUAGCUAUCUUGAGUAGUUUUUAUUGCAUGCAUGAAAUGUCAUGAACUUUUUGACGCGAUGGCAAACAUUUGUGAUGAAUGCACCCGGUUACUCAGUUGGUCAUAGUUCUAAGUGGCUACUAGCGCUACUCAUAGCCUUUUAGAUUUGAAAUGUCACUAACCUUUUGACAUGAGAGCAAAUAUUUGUGAUGCACCCGAUUACUCAAUUAGUACUGCUUUCAAGUGAGUAGAGGAGUAGUUUAUUACUUGUGUUCUCUCUUUUGUUUUCUUUCUUCUUCUUUUUCUUUUUUUUUUCAAUAAAGUCCUAAGCAUGAACCAUAUAAUUUUAGACAUGCAAAUCUUGGAUAAGUUGUAGUAAAGUUCUGUCUAAGCAUUAGCAUUCACUCAAAGAUAAGAAAAAAUCAAUUUUGAAGAGGAAAUUUCAAACAAGCCAUGCUUGAAAUACAUAAUCAAAGAUAAUUAUUCAUAGUGUGAAAAGAUGAAAAACAAGCUACAAUUCCUAGGAGAUGGUUAUAAUUGAAAUUCAAAAUUUGAAAAAUCCCAUUUGAGUUAUUUUAAUUAAUGAAGAUAGUUUUAAAGGUUGGAGCCAAAAAUUGUUGGAAGUGUUUCUGUGGUGUGGUAAAAAUUAGGUAGGGUCAAGAUACCCAAAAUGAAAUGCUAGAAGAAGAAGAAAAAAGCUACACAAAAUGCAGAAUGCAUAAUGCCCUUCCCUUCACACUUAGUGUGUACAUUAUCCCCAAUGUGUGCAAAAUGUGAAAAUGAAAUAGUAAGGGAAAGAGAGGACUCCCCUAGUUUGGUGGCUGGAAGGUGGGACAUAUUGGAGGCCUCAGAUGUUGUAAAGCCAAGGAAGCUAAGGAGGUUUAGGCAUUGUUCGUGUUGUUUGGGCUAGUGACUAGGCUAACGCAUUAACUUUGCUAAUCAACAGCUUAGUCGAUUGCUCGAGGUAAUACAAGCGACCAUCAAUCAUCCGGACAUGCAGUAGUACAUGGUCCAUGAAUUCUUAGAAUUCAGUAAGCCUAACAGAAG
This 2474-nucleotide long non-coding RNA is filed under the name Carica papaya (papaya). Its description in RNAcentral is "long non-coding RNA (CPAP_LNC005915)". The record is from RNAcentral. Lineage: Eukaryota; Viridiplantae; Streptophyta; Magnoliopsida; Brassicales; Caricaceae.